This 885-nucleotide ribosomal RNA is filed under the name uncultured archaeon. RNAcentral's name for it is "bacterial SSU rRNA". It matches the Rfam family "Archaeal small subunit ribosomal RNA", at positions 114 to 997 of the family's 1478-position model. The record is from RNAcentral.
CUUGGGUCCGGCAUAACCCCGGGAAACUGGGGAUAAUUCCGGAUAACGCAUAUAUGCUGGAAUGCUUUAUGCGUCAAAUGGAUUCGUCUGCCCAAGGAUGGGUCUGCGGCCUAUCAGGUAGUAGUGGGUGUAAUGUACCUACUAGCCGACGACGGGUACGGGUUGUGAGAGCAAGAGCCCGGAGAUGGAUUCUGAGACAUGAAUCCAGGCCCUACGGGGCGCAGCAGGCGCGAAAACUUUACAAUGCGGGAAACCGUGAUAAGGGGACACCGAGUGCCAGCAUCAUAUGCUGGCUGUCCGGGUGUGUAAAAUACACCUGUUAGCAAGGGCCGGGCAAGACCGGUGCCAGCCGCCGCGGUAACACCGGCGGCCCGAGUGGUGAUCGUGAUUAUUGGGUCUAAAGGGUCCGUAGCCGGUUUGGUCAGUCCUCCGGGAAAUCUGACGGCUUAACCGUUAGGCUUUCGGAGGAUACUGCCAGGCUUGGAACCGGGAGAGGUAAGAGGUACUACAGGGGUAGGAGUGAAAUCUUGUAAUCCCUGUGGGACCACCUGUGGCGAAGGCGUCUUACCAGAACGGGUUCGACGGUGAGGGACGAAAGCUGGGGGCACGAACCGGAUUAGAUACCCGGGUAGUCCCAGCCGUAAACGAUGCUCGCUAGGUGUCAGGCAUGGCGCGACCGUGUCUGGUGCCGUAGGGAAGCCGUGAAGCGAGCCACCUGGGAAGUACGGCCGCAAGGCUGAAACUUAAAGGAAUUGGCGGGGGAGCACAACAACGGGUGGAGCCUGCGGUUUAAUUGGACUCAACGCCGGACAACUCACCGGGGGCGACAGCAAUAUGUAGGCCAAGCUGAAGACUUUGCCUGAAUCGCUGAGAGGAGGUGCAUGG